UACGGGGGGGGCGUGCGUUAUUCAAUCAAACUGGGCGUAAAGCGUUUUUAGGUGGAAUUGAGAGAGUUAACGACUAAAUUUCAUUAGAUAACUAUGAAAUGUGCGUUAAUACCAACUUUCUUUGAGUUAAAGCCGGAUGAGUAUUAUUUUUUAAAUAGAGUUAUAAUUCUUAGAAAAAAGAAGGGGGGCCAUAGGUGAAAACAACUCAUCAGGCUUAACUGACAUCCAAAAACUAAAGUAUGGGGAGCAAUUGGG
This 255-nucleotide ribosomal RNA is filed under the name uncultured bacterium. RNAcentral's name for it is "partial 16S ribosomal RNA". It matches the Rfam family "Bacterial small subunit ribosomal RNA", at positions 524 to 776 of the family's 1533-position model. The record is from RNAcentral.